CAGUCGUACCGGCGGAUAAUCAGCCUUUCGGGUGCGAUUCUGUGGGGCGUGAAGAGUUUAACCGCCUUCAUGUUUUGCAUAUUCGUGCACAUUUGGUGUACUUGUCCGUGUGGUGGGUUAACAUCAAUUUCGGACGUCAUAAAAUGAUUGGAGGAAUGUAGCUUUGUUCUCGUAUCGAAGUGUUAUAGCCUUUGGUAGAUGUGACGAUUGGGGAUUGAGGAUUGCAACGGGAUACCCCCUCGGGGUUACCCGUCUUGAUCUCUGAAGGUUACUCCGGUGCUGAAAGCGUGC
RNAcentral lists this ribosomal RNA (291 nucleotides) under Rhizophagus fasciculatus. Lineage: Eukaryota; Fungi; Glomeromycota; Glomeromycetes; Glomerales; Glomeraceae. The record is from RNAcentral.